RNAcentral lists this ribosomal RNA (251 nucleotides) under uncultured bacterium. RNAcentral's name for it is "partial 16S ribosomal RNA". It matches the Rfam family "Bacterial small subunit ribosomal RNA", at positions 524 to 774 of the family's 1533-position model. The record is from RNAcentral.
UACGAAGGGGGCAAGCGUUGUUCGGAAUUACUGGGCGUAAAGGGUGUGUAGGCGGGAAAGUAAGAUAGUGGUGAAAUGCCUGAGCUCAACUUGGGAACUGCCAUUAUAACUAUUUUUCUAGAGUGACAGAGAGGAUAUUGGAAUACCCAGUGUAGAGGUGAAAUUCGUAGAUAUUGGGUAGAACACCGGAGGCGAAGGCGAGUAUCUGGCUGUCAACUGACGCUGAGGCACGAAAGCAUGGGGAUCAAACA